AUUGAACGCUGGCGGCAUGCUUUACACAUGCAAGUCGAACGGUAACAGGCCUUCGGGUGCUGACGAGUGGCGAACGGGUGAGUAAUGCAUCGGAACGUGCCCAAUCGUGGGGGAUAACGUAGCGAAAGUUACGCUAAUACCGCAUAAGCCCUGAGGGGGAAAGUGGGGGAUCGCAAGACCUUGCGCUGAUUGAGCGGCCGAUAUCAGAUUAGCUAGUUGGUGAGGUAAAGGCUCACCAAGGCGACGAUCUGUAGCGGGUCUGAGAGGAUGAUCCGCCACACUGGAACUGAGACACGGUCCAGACUCCUACGGGAGGCAGCAGUGGGGAAUUUUGGACAAUGGGGGCAACCCUGAUCCAGCCAUGCCGCGUGAGUGAAGAAGGCCU
This 385-nucleotide ribosomal RNA is filed under the name uncultured bacterium. RNAcentral's name for it is "bacterial SSU rRNA". It matches the Rfam family "Bacterial small subunit ribosomal RNA", at positions 30 to 417 of the family's 1533-position model. The record is from RNAcentral.